Long non-coding RNA from Amphimedon queenslandica, 788 nucleotides. RefSeq lists it as uncharacterized. NCBI's taxonomy places the organism in Eukaryota, Metazoa, Porifera, Demospongiae, Haplosclerida, Niphatidae. The transcript is spliced from 4 exons. The record is from RefSeq and is a predicted model, not a curated record.
ACGUUUGUAUACAUGUACUUACUUGUAUAUUACAUAUAAAUUUAGAGAGCUGAUUUUGAUCAAAAUUAAAUGUUUAAAAUUACUUCAAAUGCCAUAUACUGGAUUGUAAUGUGUGUCAGCAAAUGAAGAAUGCUGUUAGCUAGCAUGGCAUUCUUGUGGUUGGGAAACCCUUUAUACUAUUAUGGUAGUACAUACUGUAUGGAAGGAAAAUUGACAGUUAUAUUUUGCAAUUAGUGAAUUGGUGCCAAUUAAGUUUGCAAAAGCAUGUACAUGAAUAUUUUGCUUUAUUCUGAACAUGCAUGCUUAAUGACUGUGGUUGGCAAAUUGCCAAUAUUAAACCACCAAUACAUACAUUGUAUUAUAGAAUCACCAAUAUUUUAGUGUUACUAAAAAUUCCUGCUAUGGUAUUAUUUCUAAAAAUUGAAAUUUUUGCCUUCCCUUAAAUCCUUACCCACCCUCUCUCUUUCUAGGGAACUAUUGAAUCUUUUAACAUACAGACCAACAAAUGGGCAUCAAUGUAUGUAUUUAAAAGGCUGAAGUGGCUACAAAAUAAAAUGUUGUCUCAUUUUAUUACGAUUAUAUUUCUUGCACUGUGGCACGGUCUAUGGCCAGGGUACUUUAUUACUUUGACAUUUGAGUUUAUAGCCAUCAUAUGUGAAAGACAAUUUAUUCAGUUUAUUAUCUAUUCACAGUUUAAUAAAUAUUUUCCAUUGAGUGGAAUAUUAUCAGAAGUGUAUCAGGCAAGGAGCUUGCUGUCUAAGCUUCUCAUAAUGAUAAUAACUGGUAAG